CACCUGCGCCACGAGUGGGAACCACAAUUAUUGGGCCUAAAGCGUCCGUAGCCGGUCAAGUAAAUCUUUUGUGAAAUCACCAGGCUUAACUUGGUGACGUGCAGGAGACACUGCUCGACUUGGAACCGGGGAGGAGUUGGAAGUAUGAUGGGGGGAGCGGUAAAAUGCUAUAAUCCCCAUUAGACUACCUGUGGCGAAGGCGUCCAACUAGAACGGAUUCGACGGUGAGGGACGAAAGCCAGGGGAGCGAACCGG
RNAcentral lists this ribosomal RNA (255 nucleotides) under uncultured bacterium. Its description in RNAcentral is "partial 16S ribosomal RNA". It matches the Rfam family "Archaeal small subunit ribosomal RNA", at positions 474 to 727 of the family's 1478-position model. The record is from RNAcentral.